This 161-nucleotide ribosomal RNA is filed under the name Zamia integrifolia. Its description in RNAcentral is "5.8S rRNA". It matches the Rfam family "5.8S ribosomal RNA". Rfam says of the family: 5.8S ribosomal RNA (5.8S rRNA) is a component of the large subunit of the eukaryotic ribosome. Lineage: Eukaryota; Viridiplantae; Streptophyta; Cycadopsida; Cycadales; Zamiaceae. The record is from RNAcentral.
GUACGACUCUCGGCAAUGGAUAUCUUAGCCCCGGCAAUGAUAAAGAAUGUAGAGAAGUGCGAUACUUGGUGUGAAUUGCAGAAUCCUGUGAAUCAUUAAAUCUUUGAACGCAAGUUGCGCCCGAGGCCUCAGCCCAGGGCACAGCUGCCUGGGUGUCGCAU